AUUGAACGCUGGCGGAAUGCUUUACACAUGCAAGUCGAACGGCAGCACGGGGCAACCUGGUGGCGAGUGGCGAACGGGUGAGUAAUACAUCGGAACGUGCCCAAUCGUGGGGGAUAACGUAGCGAAAGUUACGCUAAUACCGCAUACGAUCUACGGAUGAAAGCGGGGGAUCGCAAGACCUCGCGCGAGUGGAGCGGCCGAUGUCAGAUUAGGUAGUUGGUGGGGUAAAGGCUCACCAAGCCAACGAUCUGUAGCUGGUCUGAGAGGACGACCAGCCACACUGGAACUGAGACACGGUCCAGACUCCUACGGGAGGCAGCAGUGGGGAAUUUUGGACAAUGGGCGCAAGCCUGAUCCAGCCAUUCCGCGUGCAGGAUGAAGGCCUUCGGUUGUAACUGCUUUGUACGGUACGAACGGCGAGCUCUAAUACAGUUUGCUAAUGACGGUACCGUAAGAAUAAGCACCGGCUAACUACGUAGCCAGCAGCCGCGGUAAU
RNAcentral lists this ribosomal RNA (496 nucleotides) under uncultured bacterium. RNAcentral describes it as "bacterial SSU rRNA". It matches the Rfam family "Bacterial small subunit ribosomal RNA", at positions 30 to 524 of the family's 1533-position model. The record is from RNAcentral.